Molecule: ribosomal RNA, 468 nt
Filed under: uncultured bacterium
Lineage: Bacteria
Description: partial 16S ribosomal RNA
Rfam family: Bacterial small subunit ribosomal RNA
Source: RNAcentral
GACGAACGCUGGCGGCGUGCUUAACACAUGCAAGUCGAACGGAAAGGCCCUGCUCUUGUGGGAUGCUCGAGUGGCGAAAGGGUGAGUAACACGUGAGUAACCUGCCCUUGACUUUGGGAUAACAUCAGGAAACUCGGGCUAAUACCGGAUAUGAGCUCCUGCUGCAUGGUGGGGGUUGGAAAGUUUCGGAGGUUGGGGAUGGACUCGCGGCUUAUCAGCUUGUUGGUGGGGUAGUGGCUUACCAAGGCUUUGACGGGUAGCCGGCCUGAGAGGGUGACCGGCCACAUUGGGACUGAGGAGCGGCCCAGACUCCUACUGGAGGCAUCGGUGGAAAUUAUUGCACAAUGGGCGGAGGCAUGAAGCAGCAACGCCGCGUGCGGGAUGACGGCCUUCGGGUUAUAACCCGCUUUCGCCUGUAACGAAGCGUGAGUGACGGUAAUGAGUAAAGAAGCACCGGCUAACUACGUG